This 330-nucleotide long non-coding RNA is filed under the name Locusta migratoria (migratory locust). Its description in RNAcentral is "partial Lnc45292". The record is from RNAcentral. Lineage: Eukaryota; Metazoa; Arthropoda; Insecta; Orthoptera; Acrididae.
UAUAACAUUAUGUUGGAGAUGCAAUGCAUUUGUUUUUAAAUUUUGAUCCUUGACCGUCUGUAUAUUCCAUUGACAUUUGUAAAUAAAAUAUUAAUUUCUGCUGUAUUGAGUCUAGAAUCAUUUCAAUUGCUGGAUAAAAUGUGAUAAAACUUUAUGUAUUCCUGCUACAAGUAAUAUGAAUAAAAUAUGGGAACGUACUUAGAAAAUUAANNAAAAUUAACUGUUCAUUAUUCAUUUACUGGGAAUUCCUUUAAUAACUCUGGUUGGCAGCUGUGACUCACUUUUUAUAGGACAUCAUCCAAACUGAAAUAAUUGUAAGUGGCACAAUUA